GAUGAACGCUGGCGGCGUGCCUAACACGUGCAAGUCGAGCGAUUCUCUUCGGAGAAGAGCGGCGGACGGGUGAGUAACGCGUGGGUAACCUGCCCUGUACACACGGAUAACAUACCGAAAGGUAUGCUAAUACGAGAUAAUAUGCUUUUAUCGCAUGGUAGAAGUAUCAAAGCUUUUGCGGUACAGGAUGGACCCGCGUCUGAUUAGCUAGUUGGUAAGGUAAUGGCUUACCAAGGCGACGAUCAGUAGCCGACCUGAGAGGGUGAUCGGCCACAUUGGAACUGAGACACGGUCCAAACUCCUACGGGAGGCAGCAGUGGGGAAUAUUGCACAAUGGGCGAAAGCCUGAUGCAGCAACGCCGCGUGAGCGAUGAAGGCCUUCGGGUCGUAAAGCUCUGUCCUCAAGGAAGAUAAUGACGGUACUUGAGGAGGAAGCCCCGGCUAACUACGUGCCAGCAGCCGCGGUAA
Molecule: ribosomal RNA, 468 nt
Filed under: uncultured bacterium
Lineage: Bacteria
Description: partial 16S ribosomal RNA
Rfam family: Bacterial small subunit ribosomal RNA
Source: RNAcentral